AAGGGUGGAGUCGAGACCGGGGCCGGCUGAGUGAAAGGAACCGCGGCAGGGGCCAAGCCUCCUCAACUAUGACCUCAACCGGCCAGGAUUCCACCACAACCAGGCAGCGAAGAAGUAGGCAGAACCCCCAGUCGCCCCCUCAGGACUCCAGUGUCACUUCGAAGCGAAAUAUUAAAAAGGGAGCAGUUCCCCGCUCCAUCCCCAAUCUAGCGGAGGUAAAGAAGAAAGGCAAAAUGAAGAAGCUCGGCCAAGCAAUGGAAGAAGAUCUAAUCGUGGGACUGCAAGGGAUGGAUCUGAACAUUGAGGCUGAAGCACUGGCUGGCACUGGCUUGGUGUUGGAUGAGCAGCUAAAUGAAUUCCAUUGCCUCUGGGAUGACAGCUUCCCGGAAGGCCCUGAGCGGCUCCAUGCCAUCAAGGAGCAACUGAUCCAGGAGGGCCUCCUAGAUCGCUGCGUGUCCUUUCAGGCCCGGUUUGCUGAAAAGGAAGAGCUGAUGUUGGUUCACAGGUGAAGGCUUGGGAGCCUUGUAGGGAUGGGGAGGAGCCUGCCCUGGACAAACCAGGGCAAGCUAAACGCUUUGG
RNAcentral lists this small RNA (579 nucleotides) under Pongo abelii (Sumatran orangutan). Its description in RNAcentral is "retained intron". Lineage: Eukaryota; Metazoa; Chordata; Mammalia; Primates; Hominidae. The record is from RNAcentral.